Molecule: unclassified non-coding RNA, 369 nt
Filed under: uncultured Glomus
Lineage: Eukaryota; Fungi; Glomeromycota; Glomeromycetes; Glomerales; Glomeraceae
Description: SSU rRNA
Rfam family: Eukaryotic small subunit ribosomal RNA
Source: RNAcentral
AGCAGCCGCGGUAAUUCCAGCUCCAAUAGCGUAUAUUAAAGUUGUUGCAGUUAAAAGCUCGUAGUUGAAUUUCGGGGUCAGCAGGUCGGUCGUGCCACUGGUAUGUACUGGCUUUGCUGAUUCCUCCCUCUUGACGAACCGUAAUGCCAUUAAUUUGGUGUUGCGGGAAAUCAGGACUGUUACUUUGAAAAAUUGAGUGUUUAAAGCAGGCUUACGCUUGAAUACAUUAGCAUGGAAUAAUGAAAUAGGACGUUCGAUCCUAUUUUGUUGGUUUCUAGGAUUGACGUAAUGAUUAAUAGGGAUAGUUGGGGGCAUUAGUAUUCAAUUGUCAGAGGUGAAAUUCUUGGAUUUAUUGAAGACUAACUAUUG